This 430-nucleotide unclassified non-coding RNA is filed under the name Hevea brasiliensis (rubber tree). The record is from RNAcentral. Lineage: Eukaryota; Viridiplantae; Streptophyta; Magnoliopsida; Malpighiales; Euphorbiaceae.
GGAGCUAUGGAGGAAGAAGCAGUCCGAUGUGAUGAGAUUUCUACAGAGGGUGAGAUGCUGGGAAUAUCGCCAACAUCCAUCCAUUGUUCGUGUCAAUCACCCCACUCGCCCUGAUAAAGCUCGCCGUCUUGGUUACAAGGCCAAGCAGGGUUACGUGGUUUACAGGGUCCGAGUGCGACGUGGUGGUAGGAAGAGGCCGGUUCCCAAGGGUAUUGUGUAUGGAAAGCCAACCAACCAAGGUGUUACCCAAUUGAAGUUCCAGCGCAGCAAGCGAUCAGUUGCAGAAGAACGAGCAGGGCGAAAGUUGGGUGGUUUGAGGGUUCUCAACUCGUACUGGAUCAAUGAGGAUUCUACCUACAAAUACUAUGAGGUGAUUUUGGUCGACGUCGCCCAUAAUGCAGUUCGCAAUGACCCAAGAAUCAACUGGAUC